Molecule: ribosomal RNA, 408 nt
Filed under: uncultured bacterium
Lineage: Bacteria
Description: partial 16S ribosomal RNA
Rfam family: Bacterial small subunit ribosomal RNA
Source: RNAcentral
GACGAACGCUGGCGGCGUGCUUAACACAUGCAAGUCGAACGAAGUGGAGAACGGGUGAGUAACGCGUAAACAAUCCGUCCUUCAGAGGGGUACAACAGUUGGAAACGACCGCUAAUACCGCAUACUGAAGGUGGGGUGUGCGUCUGAUUAGCUAGGUGGAGAGGUAACGGCCCACCAAGGCGAAGGUAAGUAGCCGGACUGAGAGGUGGAACGGCCAAAUUGGGAAUGGGAAACGGCCCAGAAUCCUACGGGAGGCAGCAGUGGGGAAUCUUCCGCAAUGGACGGAAGUCUGACGGAGCAACGCCGCGUGAGGGAUGACGGCCUUCGGGUUGUAAAGCUCUGUUGAUCGGGAAGCGGUACCGAAAUAGAAAGCCACGGCUAACUACGUGCCAGCAGCCGCGGUAAUUC